Molecule: ribosomal RNA, 468 nt
Filed under: uncultured bacterium
Lineage: Bacteria
Description: partial 16S ribosomal RNA
Rfam family: Bacterial small subunit ribosomal RNA
Source: RNAcentral
GACGAACGCUGGCGGCGUGCUUAACACAUGCAAGUCGAACGGAAAGGCCCUGCUUUUGUGGGUUGCUCGAGUGGCGAACGGGUGGGUAACACGUGAGUAACCUGCCCUUGACUUUGGGAUAACUUCAGGAAACGGGGGUUAAUACCGGAUAGGAGCCCCGGUUGCAUGGUGGGGGUGGGAAAGUUUCGGCGGUUGGGGAUGGAUUCGCGGCUUAUCAGCUUGUUGGUGGGGUAGUGGCUUACCAAGGCUUUGACGGGUAGCCGGCCUGAGGGGGUGACCGGCCACAUUGGGACUGAGAUACGGCCCAGACUCCUACGGGAGGCAGCAGUGGGGAAUAUUGCACAAUGGGCGGAAGCCUGAUGCAGCAACGCCGCGUGCGGGAUGACGGCCUUCGGGUUGUAAACCGCUUUCGCCUGUGACGAAGCGUGAGUGACGGUAAUGGGUAAAGAAGCACCGGCUAACUACGUG